UUAUUAGAAAUAUCAAUGGCAACAUGAUCAAAUUUAAAUUUACAAGAUAGAGCUUCACCUUUAAUAGAACAACUUACAUUCUUUCAUGAUCAUGCUCUAUUAAUUCUUAUUAUAAUUACUAUUUUAAUUGGAUAUUUAAUAUAUAUACUAUUUUUUAAUUAUUAUACAAAUCGUUAUUUACUAUCUGGUCAAAUAAUUGAAAUCAUUUGAACAAUUAUACCUACAAUUAUUUUAUUAUUUAUUGCAUUUCCAUCUCUUCGAUUACUAUAUCUUUUAGAUGAAGUUAAUAAUCCAACUAUUACAUUAAAAACUAUUGGGCAUCAAUGAUACUGAAGUUAUGAAUACUCUGAUUUUAAUAAUUUAGAAUUUGACUCUUACAUAAUUCCUAUUAAUGAAAUUCGAAUUAUUAUUUCUGCCACAGAUGUUCUUCACUCAUGAACAAUUCCAGCCUUAGGGGUAAAAGUAGACGCCUCUCCUGGUCGAUUAAAUCAAACUAAUUUUUAUAUUUACCGACCCGGUUUAUUUUAUGGCCAAUGUUCUGAAAUUUGCGGAGCCAAUCAUAGUUUUAUACCUAUUGUUAUUGAAUCAACAAUUCCAAAAACAUUUAUUCAAUGAAUUAAAAAUAAUAUUUCAUUAGAUAACUUAAAGUAAGUAAUGGUCUCUUAAACCACAAUAUAGUAAUUAACGAAUACUUCUAAUGAUUAAAAAAUUAGUUAAAAUUAUAACAUUAGCUUGUCAAACUAAAAUUAUUUAUAUAAAUAUUUUUUAAUUCCACAAAUAGCCCCAUUAAUAUGAUUAACCUUAUUUAUUUUUUUUUUAUUUAUAUAUUUAUUAUUUAAUAUUAUAAAUUACUUUUCUUUUACAUUAGAAAAUAUAAAUAAAAAUACAAAUAAAUCUUUAAAUAAAUCUCAAUAUAAUUGAAAAUGAUAAGUAACCUUUUUUCAGUAUUUGACCCCUCUACCACAAUUAUAAAUUUUUCAUUAAAUUGAAUUAGAACUAUUUUAGGUAUUAUUUUUAUUCCUAUUAGAUUUUGAUUCAUUCCUUCUCGUUAUCACAUUUUAUGAAAUAAAAUUACUAUAACUCUUAAUAAUGAAUUUAAUACUUUACUUGGAGAAAAUAAGCAUCAAGGAAGAACUUUUUUAUUUAUUUCUUUAUUUUCUAUUAUUUUAUUUAAUAAUUUUUUAGGAUUAUUUCCUUAUAUUUUUACUUCAUCUAGUCAUUUAACUUUAACACUUUCUUUAGCUCUUCCUUUAUGAUUAAGUUUUAUAUUAUUUGGAUGAAUUAAUCACAUACAACACAUAUUUGCUCAUCUUGUACCCCAAGGAACUCCUUCAGUUUUAAUACCUUUUAUAGUGGUAAUUGAAACAAUUAGAAAUAUUAUUCGUCCAGGAACUCUAGCUGUUCGACUAAUAGCAAAUAUAAUUGCAGGUCAUCUAUUAAUAACUUUAUUAGGAAAUACAGGGCCUUCACUCUCAUAUUACCUUAUUUCAUUUCUACUAAUUACCCAAAUUGCACUUUUAGUAUUAGAAUCAGCUGUUGCUAUAAUUCAAUCUUAUGUAUUUGCUGUCUUAAGAACUUUAUACUCUAGAGAAGUAAUUUAAUUUAA
RNA transcript from Lutzomyia longipalpis, 1606 nucleotides. It is a transcript of the gene named cytochrome c oxidase subunit 2-like, with no coding region annotated. NCBI's taxonomy places the organism in Eukaryota, Metazoa, Arthropoda, Insecta, Diptera, Psychodidae. The transcript has a single exon. The record is from RefSeq and is a predicted model, not a curated record.